UCCAAAACCAAUAGCCCAUGCGGCCAAUAAUUGAAACAGGCUGUCAGCCCAUUUUAUAGAAAAAACACUCAAAUAUUAAGAAAAUUACGAAACAUGCCACUGAGACUCACAUAACCCAUUUCUCCCAAAAUCAGAACGGUUCCAAAAUCGAAACUAUCCCAAAAUCCAAAUCCUCCCUAAAUCGAUCUAGGGCUCCGACGAAGGUAAGGGACGAAGCAGCUGGCGGAUCGAGGCGGCGAAGCAACCGGCGAAGGGAGGCUGCGAAUCCUGCGAAGGGAGGCUGCCAAUUCGGCCAAGCAAGGCUGUGAAGCAACCUGCGAAGCGAGGUUGCGAAGCCGGCGAAGUGAGGCGGCAAAUCCGGCGAAGCAAAGCUGCGAGGCAACCGGCGAACCUAGGCUGCGAAGCCGGCGAAGUGAGGCUGCGAAGGUUAUCAAUUUGACUAUGUAUUUGAUUGGACAAUACUGAAGUAUCCACAAAUUGGCUCCAGUUCCAGAACACGAGCAAGUGCAAAACCAGGUUUGAACCCUGGACCUUCUGCAGAAAGAACAGAAAGGCCUUCAGUGGGACAAGAUUUUCGAGAUAGAUUCUCAGGUGCGGUUGAAGCAUUUUCUAGAAGGAAUGGUUCUGGGCAUGGUUCACAUGGUGAUAACUCCAGACAUAGAUCAACUGAUGAUGCGCCAUCAUCCAAAGAUGUGGUGAGUGGUGCCAACAUCUUAUCCAGUUUAUGUUUGAGAAAUUUUGAGGGUCAGUACUUUUAGCCUCAUGUUGUCACAGGUUUUGGCAUGGGUAAGCUAUAAUGACCUUGUGUUGUUUAUUUGUUUUGCAAUUUGGUGGAGCUGUACUGAUCCUAAUUUAUUUGUUAUUUCUGCAGGGCUCAGCAACAUUUUGUUUGUAGGUCAGUAGCUAUAGUAUGAUUGUUAGUUUUGUAUUGAGGGUCAGUAGCUUUAGUUUGUGUUUAUGUUAGUUUCUUAUGGUUCUUUGUUCUUGCAAGUUCAUGGAUUAGUUGCAAAUUUUGCUGCUUGUAUCUUCUACUUCCUUUCAUUUUUUUCUUUUCCAAUUUUUAUCUUGGAAAGAAAUAGAAGAAACUAUAGAGAUUAGGCUCUAAGUUUAGUGACAGUUUUUAU
Molecule: long non-coding RNA, 1124 nt
Organism: Rosa rugosa (rugosa rose)
Lineage: Eukaryota; Viridiplantae; Streptophyta; Magnoliopsida; Rosales; Rosaceae
Exons: 4
Source: RefSeq, a predicted model, not a curated record